AUGGGUUCCUUGGUCCAGGCAGCGCUGACUCAGCCGGCCUCAGUGGACGUGUCCCUGGGAGGCACCGCCGAGAUCUCCUGCUCUGGUAGCAGCAGCAGCUAUGGCUGGUACCAGCAGAAACCUGGUGGUUCCCUGGUCCCUGUGAUCUAUCAGAACAACAAGAGACCCUCGGGCAUCCCUGAGCGAUUCUCCGGUUCCAAGUCUGGCUCCACGGCCACCUUAACCAUCACUGGGGUGCAAGCCGAGGACGAGGCCGUCUAUUACUGUGGUUCCCUGGUCCAGGCAGCAGUGACUCAGCCGGCCUCGGUGGACGUGUCCCCGGGAGGCACCGCCACGAUCUCCUGCUCUGGUGGUGGCAGCUACUAUGGCUGGUGGCAGCAGAAACCUGGUGGUUCCCUGGUCGCUCUGAUAUAUGACAACAACAAGAGACCCUCGGGCAUCCCUGAGCGAUUCUCUGCUUCCACCUCUGGCUCCACAAACACCUUAACCAUCACUGGGGUGCAAGCCGAGGAUGAGGCCGUAUGUUUCUGCAGCCCCUGA
This is a non-coding RNA of Tinamus guttatus (white-throated tinamou), 540 nucleotides long. The record is from the annotation of a RefSeq genome assembly. NCBI's taxonomy places the organism in Eukaryota, Metazoa, Chordata, Aves, Tinamiformes, Tinamidae.